Molecule: ribosomal RNA, 846 nt
Filed under: Triticum aestivum (bread wheat)
Lineage: Eukaryota; Viridiplantae; Streptophyta; Magnoliopsida; Poales; Poaceae
Description: partial small subunit ribosomal RNA
Source: RNAcentral
AUGCUUGUCGGCGGCGAGCUGGCUCUUCUCGACCCCCUGCCAGUGCCCACAGCGCCAUGGCAAGACCUCACAAUGGAUUUCAUCGAAGGCCUGCCCAAGUCCGAAGGGCACGAUUCGAUCAUGGUCAUCAUCGACCGCCUGACAAAGUUCGCGCACUUCAUCCCCCUUCGCCACCCGUUCAAGGCCGCGCAGGUGGCGCGCGUCUUCUGGGACAACAUUGUCAAGCUGCACGUCGUUCCCAAGUCCAUCAUCUCCGACUGCAACCGAGUGUUCACCAGCGUGCUCUGGAGCGAGUUGUUCACCACGGCGGGCACCAAGUUACUCUAUUCGACAGCGUACCACCUGCAAACCGAUGGCCAAAGCGAGCGCGUCAAUCAAUGCCUGGAGAUGUGCCUGCGGCCAUGUGCCAAGCUUGCAUACAAGUUCUUCGGCCCCUUCAAGAUUCUGGAGAAGAUCGGCACCCUCGCCUACAAGCUCGAGCUAUCGCCGGACAGCCGCAUCCACGACGUCUUCCACAUUUUGCAAUUGAAGCCAUUCACGCCCAACUACAUGUCGGUCUUUGCCGAGCCACCCAAACCACCGGAUUUGGCGACAGGCGACGUCGAACUGGUGGAGAUCCUGGAACGCCGCAUGGUCAAGCGCGGCAACAACGCCCUGGUCCAGCUUCGCAUCCGUUGGUCUUCUUCCACUAUGGACACCACCUGGGAGGACUACAACACCGCUUUCCGGCCGCCAACAUCUGGCAGGACGAUGACCCGACAGCUUCGAAACUUGAAGAACCUACAGCAGAAGAGGAGGCUCUUUUUGAAGAAGAGGGGAGUGUCACACCUCCAUUCCCUAAUGUAG